UUUGUAUUAAUAGGCCUUUGUGCCUCUGGGGUGGUCUCGGCCAACCAGGAUGUAUGGAUGACAUUUAAACACAUCCAAAAGACAGACACACACACACACUGAAAAUAAAUGAUUAAACUAGUUUUUAAGAGUUUAGAUGUCAUUCAGGUUUCACUGUAAUCACAAUGUGGCAAAAUUGUAAAAAAUGAUGUGUAUGUAUGAACAAAAUGGAAAACAUUGAUUCAAUGAGAUGUAAAAUGUUAUAACACUUCUGCAAACAGAGGCUCAGAAACUCCAGGCUGGCGAAAAGAGGUCAACAAACCAUCAGCUGACUUUCACUCAUAUUUAUUAAGAAUUAUUAUUUGUGUUUAAAUGUUCUCUAUAUUAGACACAUACAUAGAGGUCCAAACAUCCCCCACAUUGCUGACAAGGGGACACACUGAGGGCAAGAUAGUAACACAAAAAAAGUGUACACUAAAACAAAAAAAGUAAACUUAUAAGAGUGUAAGGGAAGAUGAAAGAGUGCUAAAAUUCAAAAAAUGCACUUUAAAGAUGCUUGAUAUAUUCAAAGAAAAGGCUCUGAAAAUUUUAAAAAUUACAAAAUAAACAGAGGGGAGGAGCUUUUAAUUCUAAAAAAUUAAAUUGAGCUCAGAGAAGAAAACAUUUAUUUUACACAAGUCAUGCCUGAAGAAGACACAGAAAGCUGUCGAAACAUCGCGAUAAAAGGCUUGUGUACUUGUAUAUAGUUUAAAAUCUCAUAUUUUAGGCAAAAACAAAUAGUUUAAAGUCAAUGAUGGAUUAUUUUAUUACAAACACACAGCUUUUUGCUUCACAUGACGUUAAUUGAUGGACUGGAGUCAUGUGGAUUACUUUUGGAUUAUUGUGAUGGUCAUGUGGAUUAAUAUGUGUUGUAAAAUAAAACAAAGGGGUGCUAAAAACACAAAUAAGUGUGUGAAAGUGAAAAAGAAAUAAAUGGGUCUGUGAA
Molecule: long non-coding RNA, 964 nt
Organism: Carassius gibelio (silver crucian carp)
Lineage: Eukaryota; Metazoa; Chordata; Actinopteri; Cypriniformes; Cyprinidae
Exons: 2
Source: RefSeq, a predicted model, not a curated record